This is a long non-coding RNA of Leptidea sinapis, 2644 nucleotides long. RefSeq lists it as uncharacterized. The record is from RefSeq and is a predicted model, not a curated record. The transcript has 2 exons. NCBI's taxonomy places the organism in Eukaryota, Metazoa, Arthropoda, Insecta, Lepidoptera, Pieridae.
CAUUUACCAUAUCCUGGUAUCCUGGAAUUAUCCCGCAAGAAAGCAUGUGUCAGUAUUUUUUUACAUUCCUUAUCUUAUUCUUAUGUUAGGUUAUUAUUACCUAACACGACAAUUAAUUAAACAAAUUAUCUUGCCCCAAACUAGGCAUAGCCUGUACUAUGGGUGUGAGACAACGAUAUAUUUAAUAAUAUAUUUAUUUAGUAAUACGAUAUUCUUACUUAAACAUAUAAACAUACAAAAAAAACAUAAACAAAUCAUAUAAAUAUUUACACCUAAGUACCGGGAUUCGAACUGGCACCUCUAGCACUAACCACUCGGCUAUUGCCGAUGUAUUUUUUGUUUAUUAUCUUUUUCUGUUUAGUUUCAUGCUUUCUGCUGUGUUAUUAAGAUAAGGAGCUAAAAAUAACCAAUUACCUGAUUUAAAUGCCCACAAAAUACAUUUACCUUCUUGCAAUACAAGGUGAAUAUUCCAAGUUAAGAGAGUUAUGAAUUAACGAGAUUGCUUUAAUAUUGUACUUUAAUUUAAUAUACUAUAAUUUCAAACAAGCGACCUGUAGAUAUUUUUGGAGAGACAGUAGCACAAUUUAAGAGAAAACCUGACACUGAUUAUUAAAUUUUAGUGACCUAAUUUAUAAUAAAAAACGCAUUGACAAAAUAUCUUGUAUUUUAGUGAUUAUAUUGAAGUGACUGUAUUGUAGCUUAUAAUUAUUUAUGCAAUUUAUUUAUCUAUUUAUAUUGUUUUGACAUGUUAGCGUUAUAGGACUUCAAUAUGUUUAUGUGCAUGAUGUGUUCACCUGUAAUUGCAGGAACACGAUUUUUGAACUUUAUGUUACAAUCUUAUGAAUUGUCAUGUGUAUUCUGUAUUGGUGGACCUUGAAUAAAUAAAUAAAUUGUAAAAAAGUUUGUUCAGCCGUGUAAGUAUUUAAAAUGUUUUCAUCUGUUAUCAGGUUAUACCUAUUUGUAGUGCCAAACUGAUAAAUCAUAAGAGGGGAAAUUUUACAGAGUUCUAACCAGAGUCCGUUCACUUUUGGCUUUACCUCCUUUCUUAUGGCAUAUUUCUUUAAGGAAUUUUUGUUUAUUUGUUUGGGUAUCUUACCUAUGUUAGAAUUGUCUAAACCGAUUUGAAUAAAAAUUUGCUCUCCGUUAUUAACAUUGAAAUAAAAACGCCGAAAUCUAUACGGUCAAAGACGCGGGCCAUCCCUAAUAAAAAAAUAAAGUGGUCAUUGAUUACUGUGAGGAAAGAUAGACUAAUGGGAUGCCGUUGUAUGUAGUAGUAGAUCCAAUUGGCUCGCUCUCGUAUGGUAGCCGACUCAACGAAUUGGAAUAGAGCAUACAGAAGUGUGCUGCAGCGAUGUGUGCGUAAUAAAUAAAUUAUGCAGCAUGCACAUCGACUUGCAAUGUGUGAGUGAGAAGAGCGGCCCAAGCAUUAUGCGCAUUAUCUAUAUAUGGUAGUUGUGUUCAGAUCGCAUUAAGUAGGUACUUUAAUUUACACUUGUUGAUACCCGCGUUCACACAUGACUGAGCACUUAGUACUUAUAAGAAUCAAUGUUUCUUAAAAAUUUAAUAAUUAAAGAAGAUAUCGUCAUAAUUGUUUUUAAGUAAGGGCCAAGUGUCUAAGCAAUUCAACUAAGACUUAAUUUAAAUCUAUCCAGUACCUGGUUUUUCCGUGCGCAACUAUGCCAUAUAAUAUAGUGAUAUACUUACAUAGAAUAGUAUUUCGCAAGUCUUGGGUAAUAAUUUCGAUCUAUUUUAUGAAAUAUCGCUUCGAGCCUUUAGUUAUUUAGAUUCCACCAUAAAUAACUACUGAAUUAUAUAACUUAUAUUAAUAACUAUAAAUAUUAUAAAUAUUAAUAACUUAAUAAUUUAUUAAUUUAGUUUGAUUUUAUUUAUUGUAUUUCCAGAUAGAUUAGAAGUUUGAAGCGGGAAGCGAACCCUCAAGCCAAGCGGACGUCUUGCCGGCUUGCUUGGAUAUGUUUUUGCGAGUAGUGUGAAGGAACGGGCGCUACAUAUCGUGCCUACUGCCUCAAUCCAAAAUCGGGGACUAUUUUUUUGUUGCAGUGAUGUUGCUGCCACGGCUCGAUCCUAGCUUAAUGUGAACAAGUUGACAUAAUACUCAUUCUACCAACGAAGAACUUGGCAGCACGCAGGGAAAUAAGACAACGAAACUAUUAAACACUAACCGUGCCUAAUCUUUUACAAUAUUACCUAUAUUUUAAAUGUACCUACACUUUACAAAGAGAAAUCAUACAUUCUAUGUAUAUUUGAUACUUAGUAAGGUGGCUACUUCAGUUGUUGCUGGGGCUUCGCUUCUACUGCCGAAGACCACAAACGUCGCAAAUAAUAUGUCGGUCUCAGAGAGCCUUAGAGCCGCGCUUGCGACUAAGUAAUCUAAAUGUAUGUAUGGAAUGUAUAAAGUUCUGUCUACCCGCCUAAAUGUAAACCCAUGUGCUAGCACUUAGCAGUUAUAUCGACAAUCUGACUAGUCCAACUACCACAUGAAUAUGCUGCAAGUAUUCUUGGUACACUUCCUCGGACAGUUUGACCAGGUGUAAAUCAUGUUAAGUAUUGUAAAUAUAAUUAUAAGCAUUGUAUUGUGGUGAAUAAGUAAAUAAAUUAUGAUUAUUAUAAUUAUAAACAAUCUAUU